UUGAACGCUGGCGGCAUGCCUUACACAUGCAAGUCGAACGGUAACAGGUCUUCGGAUGCUGACGAGUGGCGAACGGGUGAGUAAUACAUCGGAACGUGCCCGAUCGUGGGGGAUAACGCAGCGAAAGCUGUGCUAAUACCGCAUACGAUCUACGGAUGAAAGCAGGGGACCGCAAGGCCUUGCGCGGACGGAGCGGCCGAUGGCAGAUUAGGUAGUUGGUGGGAUAAAAGCUUACCAAGCCGACGAUCUGUAGCUGGUCUGAGAGGACGACCAGCCACACUGGGACUGAGACACGGCCCAGACUCCUACGGGAGGCAGCAGUGGGGAAUUUUGGACAAUGGGGGAAACCCUGAUCCAGCCAUGCCGCGUGCAGGAUGAAGGCCUUCGGGUUGUAAAGCUCUUUCGGCAGGAACGAAACGGUAAGGGCUAAUAUCCUUUGCUAAUGACGGUACCUGAAGAAGAAGCACCGGCUAACUACGU
Molecule: ribosomal RNA, 480 nt
Filed under: uncultured bacterium
Lineage: Bacteria
Description: bacterial SSU rRNA
Rfam family: Bacterial small subunit ribosomal RNA
Source: RNAcentral